GAUGAAGAACGCAGCGAAAUGCGAAAAGUAAUGUGAAUUGCAGAAUUCAGUGAAUCAUCGAAUCUUUGAACGCACAUUGCGCCCGCCAGUAUUCUGGCGGGCAUGCCUGUCUGAGCGUCAUUUCAACCCUCAUGCCCCUAGGGCGUGGUGUUGGGGAUCGGCCAGCGCCCGCGAGGGACGGCCGGCCCCUAAACCUAGUGGCGGACCCGUCGUGGCCUCCCCUGCGAAGUAGUGAUAUUCCGCAUAGGAGAGCGACGAGCCCCUGCCGUUAAACCCCCAACUUUCUAAGGUUGACCUCAGAUCAGGUAGGAAUACCCGCUGAACUUAAGCAUAUCAAAAAGCGGAGGA
Molecule: unclassified non-coding RNA, 348 nt
Filed under: soil metagenome
Description: partial contains 5.8S ribosomal RNA, internal transcribed spacer 2, and large subunit ribosomal RNA
Rfam family: 5.8S ribosomal RNA (bases 1-120)
Source: RNAcentral